UUUUGGAUAGCUCAAUCGGCAGAGCAAUCGACCACGAAUCGAUAUGUAGCGGGUUCGAAUCCCGUUCCAAAAACCA
Molecule: transfer RNA, 76 nt
Filed under: Betaproteobacteria bacterium
Lineage: Bacteria; Pseudomonadati; Pseudomonadota; Betaproteobacteria
Description: tRNA-Arg
Rfam family: tRNA
About the family: Transfer RNA (tRNA) molecules are approximately 80 nucleotides in length. Their secondary structure includes four short double-helical elements and three loops (D, anti-codon, and T loops).
Source: RNAcentral